UGGGGGAUAUUGCACAAUGGGGGGAACCCGUGAUGCAGCGACGCCGCGUGGGUGAAGGAGUGCUUCGGCAUGUAAAGCCCUAUCGGCAGGGAAGAAAAUGACGGUACCUGAAGAAGAAGCCCCGGCUAACUACGUGCC
RNAcentral lists this ribosomal RNA (138 nucleotides) under uncultured bacterium. RNAcentral's name for it is "partial 16S ribosomal RNA". It matches the Rfam family "Bacterial small subunit ribosomal RNA", at positions 355 to 509 of the family's 1533-position model. The record is from RNAcentral.